CCCCACUGUCUGAACAGAAACUGGAACCCAAACCUACAUGGAAGGUUAUGUGGCUGUUUCUCGCCCCCACUGGACCGUAAGGUCUUUGCAGGCAGCAGUCUUGCCUCUUGCUGCCGCUUAAUUCUGAAUCCUUGCGAAGACCCCUGGGGGGGUGAUCUAACUUCUUUAGAAUUAGGACAUGUCAACCGAGAAAGGGAACACAGAUCUCAAGGAGUUCAAGUCCUCAUUACACACACCAGGAGCCUGAGGCUCAGAGGGGAGAUGGGACCCACCCACGGUCACACAGGGGAGCCACCAGAACCCCCGUCGCAGGCUUCCAGCCCAGACUCAAGAGCUCAGACUCUGGUUACAGUCCACCUGAGUCCAAAUGUGGCCCCUCUCCACUUCCCAGCUGUGUGGCCCUGACCAGGUCACUGAGCCCCAGGUCCCAGGCACCUGUCUGAGUUGUUGUGGGUAUCAGCUGUGAUGAUGUAAGCGCUUUGCUCAGUGACAUUGUUAUUCGUCAUCAUCAUCAUCCUGACAGGAGGGAGGGCAGGUGCUUCCAAGCUGUCAGGGCUGCUGUCUUUUGGUUGGGGCUACACCACCUGCUCAAAAGUUACCCCAGCAUCCACGACGUGCCAAACCUGGGUGAGGAUUCAGGGUAGAGAGCACAGGUGCUCAGCUUCGUCUCGACUGAGGUUCCGGAGGAGAGGCGGGGGGCAGGUGGCCACCUAUGGCAGGAGCCGGGCUCCAGGACUGAGCGUGCCACGGACCAGCUCAGGGAACUUGGCAAGGCCCCCGCCUGGGUCUCCACUCCCCUCUGUCCACGGUCACGAGGUGUCCUCUCUUGCACACUCUCCAAACUGAGGACCAACUGCCCACCUUCACCAGAGCAAAUCUGGGAAAAGUAGCAAGCACAACAUGAGUCGAAGUGACGCAUUUCGGAGCCUGGCGGCAAAAGGCUGGGCCCAACUGGAUUCAGUCUGUUUUGCUGGCGUGAGAGGCCGGGCCAGCCUUUCUGAGAAUCAUGGACUCUGAAGCUGCUCUCCUCCCAGCGAGCCGUGCUCCCCGUGGCCCAGGCCAGGCAGGGCCUCUCCCCUCUGGGCAUUCCGCCAUGUGGAGGGUUCCAGCGUGAGGAGCAGCCAAGCACAGCCCCCGCACCUUCCCAGUGACCCUCCACCAUCCCGGGCUGAGGUUUGGGAUCCAGAGCUCGCCUCACGGUUACCUAGAGAGGGACCCUGAGGAGCUGGACGUGCUCUGGGGGAGGGGUGGCCCGGGGCCCUGCCUGUCCCCAGCUGUGGGAUUGGGGGCACAGGUGAGCCCUUUCUGUCGUGCACAAAUGUGUGUGCAAGGCCUACCCGGCCUCCUACACAGGGCAGCUGGAGGCGGACAGGCAAUGCAGUUGACAGCUCAGCCAAUGACACAUCUCCACACAUGCCCGAGAUGACUCCCAGGAAUGCCCAGCCCCUCUCUGUCCCCAAAUGUCUCCCCACUUGCCUCCUAAUACCUGCUGUCCCCACCAUUAGAUUGAGCCUUCUGGGUUAUUCAGAGGCUCUGCUGACUUACAGCCAAGGCUGCUGCUGGGAGGGGAGGCGGGGUGGUGAGCACCCCACAGGCUCUCCUCCGUGCCCGCGCUGUCCUCCCUGCUUGCGGCUCUCCUCCGUGCCCGUGGCUCUCCUCCAUACCGCACAACCUUAGUUAGCUCGGCAGCAGGACGUGGCACAGGCCAGGAGGCAGGAGGCUCCUGCUGCGCAGGAACCUGGAGGCCUCAGGAACAAAGGCCAGCGGAGGGGCAGCUGGUUGCCCUGAGGCUCUCUAGGCAGCAGGAGUAGGGGUGCUGGCUUGAGUGCCCUGCGGACCUGGGAGUGGUCAGUGGAGAAAGGAGCCAGUGGGGACCCAGGGAGCCCAUGGCCGGCUUGAUCUGCUGCAGCCCUGCCCAGUGGAAAGGACGCAGGAUCUGGAGCCUGACAGACCAGGGCUCCACUGCACAUUUGUGCAGCACAGUUCUCAACCCCUCUGAACCUCAUGCUGUCAUUUAUUAAAAAGAGAGAAAGAACGACUCCAGUUCAAAGUCUUUUAAGCGUUAAAAUAAUAUGUGUAAGAGCAGACCACUUAUUAUUACUAUUGACAAUUUUGUUGUGGCCUUAGCAUGGGUAGGCUACACAUAUUUUCCCCCACGUCGGGGUAUGCACUGCCUCCUUGCUGUGUCAUCUCCUCCAGACUGGAAUGGAAUGCAGUAGAAAGGACAGAGGACUGGGGGUCAGAAGGCCUGGAUUCUAACUCUGCCUUUGCACUUAUUGCCUAAAGGACCUUGGGCAAGUUCCCUGGCCACUCAGAGCCCCACCUAUAAAAUGAGGGGAAUGGAUGGGAUAAUAAUCACGAACUCACGAAGCUGCUGUGAGAAUGACAUAAAACAAAUAUGUCCACAAUGGUUCCCAUCUGUCCAGCACUUACCAGUGUGCCAGGCAUCACUAAGGGCUUCACAAGCAUUAUUUCAAGGGACCCAUCCCAGUACAACCUUAAAAUUUUCCCUACUUCGAUAGAUGAGAAAACUGAGGCUCAGAGAUGUUAGGCAACGUGGCCAAAGGUCACACAGCUUGCAAGUGGGGGAGCUUGAAUUUGAACCCAGACAGCCACUACUUCACUACUCUGCUGGGCAUGGGAUCCAAGCACAUCCAAGCUGGAAGAAGCCUUAAAGCAUACCUGGUCCAACCACCUGCUUACUGCUGAGGACUCCCCUCCACCUGUGCCUGCAUCGUAACUUCUCAGAUGAGUCCCUGUAGCUGACGGCUCUUCACCAGUUGCAUGGCAUCCACAGAGCAAGCAUCGUUCCCUUUAGAGGAGGGCCCCAAGACCCAGAGAAGCCAAGUCACCUGC
This is a long non-coding RNA of Equus caballus (horse), 2856 nucleotides long. RefSeq lists it as uncharacterized. The record is from RefSeq and is a predicted model, not a curated record. NCBI's taxonomy places the organism in Eukaryota, Metazoa, Chordata, Mammalia, Perissodactyla, Equidae.